CUCCAGGUGACGAGUCCCAAACAGAACGAAACGCGAGUCCUGGAU
This 45-nucleotide non-coding RNA is filed under the name Schistosoma mansoni. Lineage: Eukaryota; Metazoa; Platyhelminthes; Trematoda; Strigeidida; Schistosomatidae. The record is from RNAcentral.